CCUACGGGAGGCAGCAGUGAGGAAUAUUGGUCAAUGGGCGUAAGCCUGAACCAGCCAAGUCGCGUGAGGGAUGAAGGUUCUAUGGAUCGUAAACCUCUUUUAUAAGGGAAUAAAGUGCGGGACGUGUCCCGUUUUGUAUGUACCUUAUGAAUAAGGAUCGGCUAACUCCGUGCCAGCAGCCGCGGUAAUACGGAGGAUCCGAGCGUUAUCCGGAUUUAUUGGGUUUAAAGGGUGUGUAGGCGGACUGGAAAGUCAGCGGUAAAAUCGAGAGGCUCAACCUCUUUCCGCCGUUGAAACUGUCGGUCUUGAGUGGGCGAGAAGUAGGCGGAAUGCGUGGUGUAGCGGUGAAAUGCAUAGAUAUCACGCAGAACUCCGAUUGCGAAGGCAGCAUACCGGCGCCCGACUGACGCUGAGGCACGAAAGCGUGGGUAUCGAACAGGAUUAGAUACCCGGGUAGUC
This 459-nucleotide ribosomal RNA is filed under the name uncultured bacterium. RNAcentral's name for it is "partial 16S ribosomal RNA". It matches the Rfam family "Bacterial small subunit ribosomal RNA", at positions 338 to 795 of the family's 1533-position model. The record is from RNAcentral.